Salvia splendens (bonfire salvia) is the source of this 103-nucleotide small nuclear RNA. The record is from RefSeq and is a predicted model, not a curated record. NCBI's taxonomy places the organism in Eukaryota, Viridiplantae, Streptophyta, Magnoliopsida, Lamiales, Lamiaceae.
AACUCAUUCGGUGACAUCUAAUGAAAUUCAAACAAUACAGAGAAUAUUAUCAAGACUCGUGCACAAGAUGUCGUGCAUGAAUCGAGAAAUAUACUAUUAGUAA